AGUACGUAUGUGACGUUUUACUCGUUUAUAUAAAUAAAUGUUUUUUGCGGCUUGUUAGCAUUCAGCUGAGCCCUGAAACAGCUAAGCUAAGAUCUUUAAAAAUCUUUUUGUGUUUUUUCUAUGUUUUCUGAUAGCCCUAAAAAGGAAUUUUCACCCUCUGUUUCUGGCUUCGUCAAUUUCCUGUAACACUGUUCAUGUGACGGGAGAAAUACAAGGAAUACUUAGCGCGUUUUAAUGAUAGGCAGCAGUUUGGCUCUGCCCCUCGCAUUGCUGAUGUCUAGGAACGAAGGUACCCGCUCAUCACCAGGUGGGGCGUAUGCUCAUCUGCCUACAAGAACAAUAAAAAACGUGGCUUUUAUAACUUUAAUAUAGCAACAUUUAAUGGA
Bombyx mori (domestic silkworm) is the source of this 386-nucleotide long non-coding RNA. RefSeq lists it as uncharacterized. The record is from RefSeq and is a predicted model, not a curated record. The transcript is spliced from 2 exons. NCBI's taxonomy places the organism in Eukaryota, Metazoa, Arthropoda, Insecta, Lepidoptera, Bombycidae.